CGAUGCCUAUGGAAACCUCUUGGUCUGUGCACAUGGAUUUAACUUUAUAAGGGGACCAGAAACUAGAGAACAGUAUCCAAAUAAAUUUAUCCAGCGAGAUGAUACUGAAAGAUUUUACAUUCUGAACACACUAUUCAACCUACCAGAGACCUACCUGUUGGCCUGCCUAGUAGAUUUUUUUACUAAUUGUCCCAGAUAUACCAGUUGUGAAACAGGAUUUAAAGAUGGGGACCUCUUCAUGUCCUACCGGAGUAUGUUCCAGGAUGUAAGAGAUGCUGUUGACUGGGUUCAUUACAAGGGCUCCCUUAAGGAAAAGACAGUUGAAAAUCUUGAGAAGUAUGUAGUCAAAGAUGUAAGUAAUAUAGGGGAAAAUAGAUCUGCAUAAUAGCUCAUUUUACCUAUUAGGGAAAUUAAUAACAAGCUGAUUUAUAAUGAAAUGGACAAAAGAAGAGAUUUGUCUUGGCAUAGUAUGUGUCGGGUAUAAUCACCAAGAAUAUUCAGCUAGAGCAUAGGUCUUAGUAGAGUUUUUCCUGUUUCUUGAUAGGCAAGGAGACUCAGUAUUUCAUUUUUCCUGUUUCUUGAUAGGCAAGAAGACUCAGUAUUGCAUUUGUUCACUUAGCUUCAAUUAUAAUAGCAGUUAGAGGUUUACUGUAUGCACAUCAUCACCAUGCUAAGUGAUUACAUGCAUUAUGCCAUUUAAUCUUCUGUAUGACCUUGAGUUAGGUAUUAUUGUUGCCUCUGUUUUAUAGAUAAAAAACCUGAGAAAUAGAGGGAUUAAAUAACUUGCCAGAGGUCACACAGUUAGUAAGUAGUAAAGCUAAGUCACACCCAAAUCAUAACUACUGCACUAGAUCAUCUCAAAAAUGUGCAUAUAUGUUACUGUUAUUUAAA
Molecule: small RNA, 891 nt
Filed under: Pan troglodytes (chimpanzee)
Lineage: Eukaryota; Metazoa; Chordata; Mammalia; Primates; Hominidae
Description: retained intron
Source: RNAcentral